RNAcentral lists this ribosomal RNA (232 nucleotides) under uncultured bacterium. RNAcentral's name for it is "partial 16S ribosomal RNA". It matches the Rfam family "Bacterial small subunit ribosomal RNA", at positions 99 to 334 of the family's 1533-position model. The record is from RNAcentral.
CGGACGGAUGAGUAAUGUCUGGGAAACUGCCCGAUGGAGGGGGAUAACUACUGGAAACGGUAGCUAAUACCGCAUAACGUCGCAAGACCAAAGAGGGGGACCUUAGGGCCUCUUGCCAUCGGAUGUGCCCAGAUGGGAUUAGCUAGUAGGUGGGGUAACGGCUCACCUAGGCGACGAUCCCUAGCUGGUCUGAGAGGAUGACCAGCCACACUGGAACUGAGACACGGUCCAG